UUCUUGGAGGCUGAAAGAACACAUGGAGAGCAGUGUUUUUCCAGCUUCUGUGUUGGUAAGAGCCUGGAGUCUCUCUCUCUGUCUCUCUCUCUCUCUCUCUCUCUCUCUCUAUCACACACACACACACACACACACACACACACACACAGAGCAAUCACUGCACCCAGCCACCUCUAUAUACAUGUACACAAAGCCACACAGUUUACACAGUCACAGGUAUUUAAGUACACACUAUUCACACACAAAUACAUAUAUAGACACACAUGUACAGUCCGUCCAAAAUAUAUGUACAUAAAAGCACACUAUUACACCUUCAUAUGUGCACACACACACACACCCAGACUCACUUCAUACACACAUAGAUACAACAGCCACAGCUCCCCAUCACCUACACACACACACACACACCUGGACACCCAGCUCUAAUAUAAUCAGAUAGAGAUAUGCAUGCAGACAAAUUUGCCUGUAUAGUCAAACACAUAGGCAAAUAGAGAACGAGACACCACAUGAACAAAGGCAAACCUACACACAAAGACACAGAGCACACUUACGCAUAUAUCUAUAGACCCACCAUGGCACAUAUGGGUAAGUGCACACAGGCAAACUCACACACACGAGCAUGCACAGGCAGAGAACACAAAUGUACACUCCCAGGUGUCAUAAAGAACAGCCCAGCUUCGGCUUGGGAACGUCACAUCAGACAAUAGGAACGGCUGCACCGCGCGUUUCCUCGGCUGCCAGCUUCCCAGCCACAGAGGAUGCCUCACCUGCUAUGUCAGCUCCCCUCUGCCCCACCUCACAAGAAGCUCAGAAGCUGAGGAGUCACAGAGAGACCUCCCUACUGUGUCAGAGGAAUAGGUCCUUCUGUCACGGGGCACAGGACCCUUGACCGCAAAAUGACGUGAGUUACCACUGACUAUUUUCUGGGUCUUGAUCUUGUGACUCCAAAUGGAUGGUAAGCUCCUUAAGGGAAAGUCUAUGAUAUUCAUCCAACCACCCAUCCAUCCUUUCAUCCACCCAACCAUCCAUCCAUCUGACCAUCAUCCAUCCAUCCAUCCAUCCAUCUAUCCAUCUUCUAUCCAUCUGUCUACUCACCCAUCCACCCAUCCAUUCAAUUAUUCAUCCAUCCCUCUUCCAUCCAUUCACCCAUCUUCCAUCCAUCUGUCCACCCAUCCAUUCCACCAUUUAUCCAUCCAACCACCAUCUAUUCAUCCAACCACUCGUCUAUUCAUCCCUCUGACCAUCCAACCAUCCAUCGAUUUGUUCAAUUAUUUUAUCAAGCAUCUACACUGCACCACACACCCUAAUGGGUGUUGGGGAGAAAAUGGAGAGUAAAAUCAGAUGGGACCUCUGACCUCAGUGCGGCUGACCAUCAGUCCGGUAGAGGAGACACGUAAACUGACAAUUAUAAAUAAACACAAUGUGUCAACUCUGACAAGUGCUGUGAGGGAGAAAUCAGCAGUACUGAGAAAGCCUUUAUGGUCCUGGUGUGAGAGGUGGGAUGAGCCCAACACAGCAACAACAGCAAGACCAUGGGGGAGUGUGGUGCAGAUGGGCAGGUGUACAGAGCAUGCAGGCCAUGUCUGCCAGCCCUCUCUUUGUGCAUUAGCAACAGUAAAACGGGGCUUGUGUUUGGGCAGAUUAUACCACUGGUCUUGCAUCCCAAAUGUCUCUUUGUUCACUCGUUUAUACAAACAUGCUCAAUAAUAUUUAUGCAUUUUUACUGUGACAUCAUUUUCUUAUAUAAUAAAAGUGCCUAUUUAUAUACCGUAUAUGUAUAUAUAUAAUACACAGAUGCACACACACAAGCACACAUGCACAGAGCUUCUUGACAGUCAGUCCCUCAUAAGGUAGUCCACUGAAGUGCAGUCAUCACCAUCCUCAGACCUCAUGAUUAUAUAACUAGAGCACCUUAUAUUUUUAUAUUUUAUUAUGUAUUUAAUAAUCACAUAACUCUUUAGUGAAUGCCAAUUAAUUAGGAGAAUGACAUGCCUUCUCUCUGCUCCUCAUAAUAUCCCCCUUAGAUAGGUUUUAUCUCCCCACUUACAAGAUGUGGAGACUGGGCCGGGCACGGUGACUCACGCCUGUAAUCCCAGCACUUUGGGAGGAUGAGGCGGGUGGAUCACAUGAGAUCAGGAGUUUGAGACCAUCCUGGCCAACAUGACAAAACCGUCUCCUCUAAAAAUACCAAAAUUAGCUGGGACUGGUGGCACGUUCCUUUAAUCCCAGCUACUCGGGAGGUUGAGGCAGGAGAAUUGCUUGAACCCAGGAGGCAGAGGUUGUAGUGAGCCAAGAUCGUGCCACUGCACUCCAGCCUUGGUGACAGAGCAAGACUCUGUCUCAAAAAACAAACAAACACAC
Long non-coding RNA from Homo sapiens (human), 2361 nucleotides. Ensembl annotates it as long intergenic non-protein coding RNA 1484. NCBI's taxonomy places the organism in Eukaryota, Metazoa, Chordata, Mammalia, Primates, Hominidae. The record is from Ensembl.